CUACGAGCCCUGUUGAGGCACAGCCUUACUACCAAUAAAUUGUGCAUAUGCUAUAGCUACAGUUGAUCAACUCAUGAAUGGACACUUGACCCAAGGCUGGCCAUCAUACUUUCAUACUUUCAAUAAAGCAUGAAAUUGUUACUGAAGAGAGACCAGAUUUGAAUAGCUUUGCUGGAACAAUAACCUCCAAGGCUAUUUUGAGCAUUACUCUUAAAAAUGUGAAUGGGUAAAUAUGGGUACUAUUGCAGAUUUAACAGGAAGAUUAAACUGCAAAAGUCUUGAGGUAGAAAAUGGCAUGAGGAACACCCAAUAGCUAAAAAAUUAACAGAUUUGAAGAAGCAGAAGCAAAUAUACAAAGGAAAUACACAGCAAAGGGUGGCCACUUUAGUAGUCAGAAAAUAAGUGUACUAAGAGAGAUAAGCUCUAUAUGAGAGGGAGCAAUGUUAUGUUAAUGUUAGAGAUUACUGUGGAAAAAUCACAAAUUUCUGGACUGUAGCCCCUGCCCACUCCUUAAUCUCCAGUCCUUGGUUUUCCUUCACUCCACUUAAUCGUCAUUAAAAUGUGAUGCAUUUUACCAAUAUGUAUGCUGUUUGUCUUCUGGCACCUCCAUAUAAAUCCCAUGAGGGCAAUUUUGUUGUUUGUUUUUACAAAAUCCAGAGUAAUGUCUCAAAUAUAGCAAAUUCUCAAUAAAUAUGAUAAGACUAUGAAGCAGAUGAAUGAAUACCAUUCUGAUAUUAAUGGCCCUAAACCUACCUUUGUUUGCAUUUAUUUGUUUAUUUUUACAGAGUCUAUUUUUAAGAAGGACCUUAAAUUACAUAAAUAAUUUUAUAUGGCUUCUUCAUUACACACACAUCAUACAUAGCAGUAUCUGGAUUAUUUCCACUUCCCAGAGGAAACCAUUUCAAAUGUUUUCUUUUUCUUUCUUUCCUUUUUUUUUUAAUCAGAUUGGUCUGUUGUUUAUACUCACCUACUUAAAUAUACUGAAAAACAGUUUCAUAUUCUUCCUUUAUUUGUUUGGCAGUUCUAGGUAUUAUUUAUUGACUUCCAAUCACGGAUACUCUUUUUACCAGAACAUAUUUAUUUACUUAUCUGCUUUCUAUGGAGUAAAUAUAUAUUUCAAUUCUAUUGAACUUUUAGUAAAUUUCUAAAUUUUGUUCCCAAGAGUUGUUUCUGUUUUCCCAAUAUUUCUUUAAAAACCACAUUGUUAAAAACAUGGAGAAAUAGUCAGUUUACAAAUAAAAAUUAAAUAAGUGCAAAUGGUGGUUUUCAAGAUGUAUUCUGGUUGGAAUGGAUGCAGAGAUCUGGAGCUGUCAUUGCUCAGUAUUCCCCUUACUUCCAUCAGUGCCUCAUGAAGCAUUUGAUGUCCCUAGGUAACAUUACUUGGGUUGGGAAAUGAAGAUUCUGAAUAAAUAAUGAUAUAAACCUACCCAAAUAAUUUUUUGUAGAAUAUUUAAAGAAAAAAAUCUUUCUUGUGAAAUACACAUACUCUUCUUUUGGACAGUUAAAACAGUAUCAAAACAAUUCAGAUUUAAUAAUUUGAGAUAUCUUUUGAAAACAUACAAUUAAAAGAAAUGUUUGACAAUCAUACUGUAAUUAAAAUUAAUUUUGUAAGAAUGAUAGUAAAAUUGUAAUAACAUUACAAAGCUUUUAGAUUUGUCACCAAACAGGAUGUCAGGCUUCUGUGAUUUUUAAUAAUAUCUCAAUCCAUAUACAACACUUUUCAUACUCAGGACUUUUUAAUAUUAUCUCUAAAUUAUAAAAUUCUAGACUUUAAGUCCUGAUCUUCUAUGGUAGAAAAACUGUGAAGAAAGAUUUAAAUUUAUAUGUGUGGAGAUGAUAACAGAGCAGUCCAUGUAAGAGGAAAGAAGUCAGUUCUAAGCCCUAUAAACUCACCCGACUUAACCAAACUUAUUAUCUUUCAUUCAUAAUUUGAGAAAGACAGUGUGUAUAUGAUAUGUGUUUUACACAUCAUUUUCUUAUAUGUGAAACUAUUAAUUGGUAUAUAUAAAUAAUGAUGCAAUGAGAUAGUAAUAGGUAUUCCAAUGAACAAUUCUAUAUUAUUUAAGGUAUUCUAAGUAUAUGUAUUCAGGAACCCUAUACUAAGUCCUAAAAUAUGACAUUGAAAAUAAAGGAUAUUUAUAAGGGUUUGCAAGCUAGCAUCCUUCUUUAUGAACCCAUAUGAUUAUGAAACACAAAUAAGGUCUCCUUGGUCCUUUGUCUCAGAAAAAGGACCUGGGCCAUACUUGCAUUAGCAAAAGUUUUGCAGAGGUUUAGCAACAGAAGAGACCACAUUUUGGGUAGGAUACAGCAUCCCCUGAUAUUCUUUUUAUCAGUGUCCAUCCUCCUUCGAAGACAAUUGAUGUUUUAAGUUAUAUUUCUUAUUUCCUCCUUAUAAUGUUCUGGUUUAGUUAUUUUAGAAAGUAGGGAGUUACUAAAGCAAUGUUACAUAACUAAUGGAGAAAGCAGUCAAAUACGAAUUUUAUUUUUCUAAAUAUAGUCCAACUAAGAACAUUUGGAAUAUAUUACCUUUAAAAAGUUUUUGGAUUUUUAGUUCCCUUUGGGGCACAGCAGAAACAAAUCCGACUAGGAACAAUGAGGUUGUGGGUUUGAUCCCUGGCUUCACUAAGUGGGUUAAGGAUCUGGCAUUGCCAUGAGCUGUGGUGUGGGUUGCAUAUGUGGCUCAAAUCUGGCAUUGCUGUGGCGGUGGUGUAGGCCAGCAGCUGUAGCUUCGAUUGGACCCCUAGCCUGCGAACCUCCAUAAACCAAGGAUGUGGGCCUAAAAAGGAAAAAAAUAAUAAAAAAAAGUUUUGUAUUUUUACUUAAUCUAUUAGUCUAGAUUUAUUUAAAUUAUAACAUUUACUAUCUGAAUAGAAUUGUGAAGCUAAUUCAGUGGCUAUAAUGUUAAGCAGGACAGACAAUGAGUGUGUAUCACUCUGAAAAAGAUUUUAGAGAUUCGAGUAUGUUUUAAACAAACUCAACAAAUAUUAUAUCGAAUAUUUUAAAUAAAAAUUGGAAAAUAUUCUGUGAAAGUUUUAUCAUUGCCUUGAAACAUAUUUUUUCAUUCCAAAUUGUAAGUACUUACUCACAGUUAUUGAACUGAAAACAAUAAAAACUGUUGCUUAUCUUGUUUUCAAUCAAGUUACUUGAAUUUAAACAGUAGCUCUUUUUUGGUUGUCUUUCUAUUUGAGCAUAUUGAGGCCUGGAUUAGCUUUAAGAAGAGAGAAAGCAUUACUGCCAUUAGCAUCUCAUUAAGAUACUCCUGCCAAGAAAACUCAGUGCAGUGAUAAUGGAGGUAAAAUACUCUUGAUUACCAUUAGAAUAAAUUAUAAAAUGGCUUUAGAGAUUUCUCUAUAAGGGUACACUUAAUUUUUUAAGGCUUACUGAAAAAAAGAAAAUUUAGAAAUUUCAACAUGUUAUAAAAGUCAUGCAUAAAGGCUUUUGUGUAAUUUGACCUUCAUAUGAAGAAAACAAUUCAUGUAAAAAUAUAUCUGCUAACUUUUUCUUAGUUUUGAAUAAAAAUCUCACUAUACUACCACAUUGAUAUAAUAGAACAAGAAAAAGAAAUCCCUUUUAUGUAACUCUCUUUGUAAUAUUCUCAAAUAGUGAAUGAAAAUACUUAUACUGGUUCAUAUCUACCACUGAAAAUGAAAGGACAAAAAAUUGUAUACAAAAUUGUAUACAAAUAUGUAGAAAUCUGUAGGACUUGAAUGUACAGAGAAAUCAUUUCAGUCAGGAAAGAGAAACCUGACCACAAGAAGAAAGGUUAAAAUCCAAGCUAUGUCAGAUGCCUAUAGGCAUCGCUAGGAGGUGUUUACAGUGAAGCCACCACUGGGAGACAUAUCAUAUGCACAAGUGUUGUUAGUGAUGGGAACAGUGCAGCUCACGCCUUUUCCUGGGAUAAAGGAGGAAACUGUCACUCAAGUGCAGAUAGUCACUCACUUAUGAAUAUGAAUAUCUAAGUACUCAAAAUCUCCAAUUUUACAAGACCACCUAGAAAUCUCAAUUAAGCAUAAUGCCCAAAUUAUUAAAUGUUAUUUCAAAAAACAAAUGAGAACCAAACAAAUAAAAGAAAAGGGCCUACUGGGAAACCAAUUAAAAACCUCUGCACAAGAAUGUCUUUUAAAAGAGAAUAAGAGGUGCAUCUGCCAGGUGGUAUUCUAAGGCAGGGUAGAUACAAUAGCGAACAAAAUAAACAAAAAUCCCUGAUCUGUGGGGUUAAGAGUCUAAUGAUGAAAUAAAAAUAAUGAUAAAUAAGAAAUAAGAUGCAUAAAUAUCAAAUAUAUUAAAUGGUGACACAUGUAAAGAUAAAGGUAAAAUAGGGAGGGGGAUAAGAAGGACCAGGGGUGUAUGAGAUUGUGAUCUUAUAAAGAGUAGUCCAGAAAGAGUGACAGGAAUAAAGUUCUGAAGAAAUGUGAGGGAGUGAACAAUGAACUCCAAGAAGGUGGGGGAGAGAAGAUGUAUGAUAACAAUUCAAAGUAGUAAUGGGAAUGGUUAAAUGGACAGACAUCCAGGGGGGUGAUGGAACUAAAGCAAGGGCAUAAGAGUCAGAAACUAGAGAGGACUUGGGCUUUUUUUUUUUUUUUCUUUUAAUAAGAUGUGAAAUCUAUUGGAGUGUGGUAAGCAGAGGGAUGACAUGCUUGGAUGAGUUUAAAAGAAUUUUUCAGGCUACUGGCCUCAGAUUAGAUUGAAGAGGAGAAAGGACCAGUUUUGGGGGGAUCAGUUAGGAAGCUACAGUAACUAUUUAGGUAAGACAUGUCAGUGCUUUUGCUUACAAAGGUACCAGUGCAAGUGGUGAGGAGUGAAUGAAAGGAGCGACGAAGGAAAGGAUUUGUUGCCAGACUGAAUAUUUAAAAUAUUAAUUCACAUAUAUAAAACACUGAAGUAUAUUUUCUAUUGUGUGAUACACUGAUUUAGCAAAACAUUACAACUUGAAAUCUGGGGUUGCCUUACUGAUUAACGCUGUCAGCUAGUUUCAUUCUUUAAUUUACCUAAUAAAUAAUUCCUGAAUAUUUAGUAUAUUUCAGAUAUUUUAGUUGCAGAAAACUCCAUAACCUAAAUAAAGUAAAUUUACAAAGAAAGUGUUCACAUGUUUUUAUUCUACUGGAAGAGAAAAUAAUGGAAAAUUCAGUGGACUUACAACUGAGUUGGAGACUGGCAAAUAUAACCACAAACUUAGAAAGAUUGGUAGAAUCCUCAUAAAUUUACUUAAAAAUUACAGAGAAAGUAUGAUGUGUUGAUGGGUGUAAAUCAUUUUCAGCUUCACUUAUUCCUCUUAAAAUGAGCUAUACCAAAAGAGUAGAAAAUGGAUUAUAACUUAAAGAUGUCCCAAGUCUGACUUAAAAGAAAGC
RNAcentral lists this long non-coding RNA (5348 nucleotides) under Sus scrofa (pig). Its description in RNAcentral is "lncRNA (ENSSSCG00000053018.1)". The record is from RNAcentral. Lineage: Eukaryota; Metazoa; Chordata; Mammalia; Artiodactyla; Suidae.